CCCUUAGACGUUCUGGGCCGCACGCGCGCUACACUGACGAAGGCAACGAGCUUUCCUUUACCGAAAGGUACGGGUAAUCUUUUGAAACUUCGUCGUGCUGGGGAUAGAUCCUUGCAAUUAUUGAUCUUAAACGAGGAAUUCCUAGUAAGCGCAAGUCAUCAACUUGUGUUGAUUACGUCCCUGCCCUUUGUACACACCGCCCGUCGCUACUACCGAUUGAAUGGUUUAGUGAGGCCUUCGGAUCCGCGACUCGUUUUGUGGAGAAGUUGGACAAACUCAGUCAUUUAGAGGAAGUAAAAGUCGUAACA
RNAcentral lists this ribosomal RNA (308 nucleotides) under uncultured eukaryote. Its description in RNAcentral is "partial 18S ribosomal RNA". It matches the Rfam family "Eukaryotic small subunit ribosomal RNA", at positions 1470 to 1796 of the family's 1831-position model. The record is from RNAcentral.